RNAcentral lists this transfer RNA (72 nucleotides) under Marmota marmota marmota (Alpine marmot). It matches the Rfam family "tRNA". From Rfam's summary of the family: Transfer RNA (tRNA) molecules are approximately 80 nucleotides in length. Lineage: Eukaryota; Metazoa; Chordata; Mammalia; Rodentia; Sciuridae. RNAcentral also lists the same sequence under 1 other name. The record is from Rfam by way of RNAcentral.
GGGGUUGUAGCUCAGUGGUAGAGUGCUUUCCUAGCAUGUGUGAGGCACUGGGUUUGAUUCUCAGCACCCCCA